Molecule: RNA transcript, 8023 nt
Organism: Choloepus didactylus (southern two-toed sloth)
Lineage: Eukaryota; Metazoa; Chordata; Mammalia; Pilosa; Megalonychidae
Gene: AKNA
Gene name: AT-hook transcription factor
Exons: 23
Source: RefSeq, a predicted model, not a curated record
UGGCCCACAUGGUCACCAGAGCUGGCAGGGAGGGGCUUCAUUAGGCUUUGGCUCGGCUCCAUCUUGGGCUUGGGGCUGGGGGUAGAGUUCUGCCAUCCAGAUGUGAGGAAAAGGCAGGGGUGUGGCAGGGUGAUUACUGGGAUGAGGACACCUGGUUCUAGCCGUGGCUGUGCUGGCCUUCAUUCAUUCAUUCAUUCAGCUCACACAUUCAUCAGCCAGAAACUGGGCCCUAGGAAAGGUGAAAAGACCUAGUCCUUGGAGGAGACCAGAGAUUCAUCCGGAAAUGAUGGUGAUGAUGGUCAUGAUGAUGACUGCAACGACAGUGACAACCGUAAUAGGACAGCGCAGUAAACAACUGCUGUGUUCCAGACUCAUGCCCUGCACUUCCUGUUUCAUUACCUCAGUGAAGCUCAGCAGCAGUCUUGUGGGUGUCUCCUCCUCUUAUUCCUAUUUUCCACCUUAGGAAACUGAGGCAUAGAGAGGUGAAGCCCUGAACUGACAAAGCUGGCAAGAGGCGGAGCUGGGAUUUGAACCCAGGUCCAGGUCAACUCCAAGAUUCAUGUUUUCUCUCCUACAUUGAUCCCAAACUUGGCCACUCAUCAGAGUCACUUGGAGGGCUUUUGGACAAUAUACUGAGGCCUGAUUUUUUAAAUUUCUUUUUAUUCCCUGAAUCAGAAUCUCUGUAUUGUGGAGGGCAGAGUUGGGAGCCAUGUGUGGGGACCCGAUACUGUACCCUCCCCUCCAGCCCCAGCUCCUGCCUCUCCCCAUUGGUUUACUUGCUAUUCUCCGAGAAAAGCCCAGCUGGUUCCCCCCUUGGGACUUUGCACUCACCCUUCCGGAAUAUUCUGCCCCCAGCCCAUCUUGUCACUUGCUCUUGCCGCGCUCUUCUGUCCUGUCCCUUCAUUGAAAGUCACCUCCUGAAGGAGAACUUCCUUGACCAUCCCGUCCCCUCCUUCCCCACCUGUCACUCUCUGUCCCAGGGGUUUUCUCCAAGAACCACACAUGACUGUCAUCUGGGGAGCUUUUAAAAUUGCCAAUGCCCAGAGACCGAUUCUCUUGGUCUGGGGUGAGUCCUGGGCAUCAGUGUUUCAGCAUCCUGGGAGGUGGAUCUGUGUUCCAUCUCACCCUGCUCUGUUUGGUUCACACCUCUCCCCCUGAAAUUAUAGAGCACAGCAGGGGUUUGCCUGUCUCGUGCACUGCCAUGUUCCCAGCACCUUGAAAGUGCCUGGCACACAGUCGGAGCUCAGUAAGUACCUGUCGAAGGAAUGAAGGACUAAACAGAGGCUUGAGAAAGGCUGCUUGCCCAUCGGGAUAAAUCUAUGCCCUGCCCUCUGAGGAGCCGAGGGACAGUACUUACGAUGGGAGAAAAAACCCUGAUCAGCCAAUCCCCCACCCCCAUGCUGCCUGGAAAAUCCCACUCCAGCUGCAGGGCCAGCUGAGAGCUGAGACAGUGGGUGGGAUGGCAGGAAUCUUUGUAGCCUCUGUGAGAUGUCAGGUUGCACAUUGGCAGACAGGCCAGAGAGUCAGAGCUGGGAGGGUGCCGAGUGGGCAUCAAGGCUGAGCUCCCAUUGUACAGGUGGGCACCAAGUCCCAGUGAGGGAAGGAGCCUUGGCUGAGGUUGAAAAGGGUCUACAACGUAGGCACUGUGUUAGGGAAAAGGACUGCUUCCAGGCCUAGCAUGCUGUGUGACCUCAGUCAAGCCUCUGACUUCUCUGGGCUUCAGUCUCUUGGUCUGUACCUUGAAUCCCAAGCCCUGACUCUGGAAGUUUCUGUGAGUGCUUUCCUGGGGCAGCCAAGACCCACAGAGAGCCUGCAAGGGGUUAAGCUCCUCCAGCUCUCACUCUCUGCACUCAGACAAGCCCCCUCCUUCUGACAAACACUUGUAGGAAAUCAGGCUGAGCGCUUCCUGCCGCAGCUGAGAGUCAGGGGCGGGGAGAAGUGGGGAGCGAUGCUUGUCUGUGAGCAGCAGCUUGGGCUGGCAGAGCGGCCUGGAGGUGGGCCAGGGCACAAUGGAGGCAGGGGGCUCCCCAGGUUUGGAACAAAGACUUCACACGUGGGUCCUCUGAGCCGGCAGGACAGUGGUGGAGCCUGAGAGAGGCCACAGGCAGGAUGGCCCAUGCGAGAGGAGCCACCUGUGACCCGGGUGCCCGUGGCAGCAGCUCCGUCUCCUGAGGAUGAAGUGGCCGAGGUGAAGCGCAGGCCAGGCCUGAUGGCCAGCUCGGGAACUGAGGCCAACUGGGCCGGGCCAGGCCUGGGGCAGGGGCCCCGGCGGCGGCGCUGGGCCUGGGCCGAGGAGAAGGAUGGUGGUGGGAGUUGCACCCGCAGCUGGGGAGAAGAGGGGCCCAUUCCCGAUGCCACCAGCCCUGAGCUCCUGGAGGACUUCCGCCCGGCUGAGCAGCACCAACUGCUGCUGGAGUGGGACCCGCAGCCUGACGGGCACCAGGAUUCCGAGUCUGGAGAAUCUGCGGGAGAGGAUAUUGAAGGAGAAGAGGUAGACAGCCCAGAAAGUUCCAACUUGCCUCUCAGCUGGUUUCCCCAGUGGGAUCAUCAACUGAACAUGACUGAAGAGGAGCCUGAUGAAGCCCUUAGAAAUCCCCAGGAGAUUGAGGAAGCUGGAGAAGGUUCCCCAAGAUUGGGGUACAAGGCUGGACUCUGCUUGACGGACAAGGGAAGCACCAGCCCCAAGGCUCUGGGACAGGGGGAAGACAGAGGCUGGCUGGUUGCUGGCGAUAAAGCCAGUAGAGACGAGUUUUCAGAACAUUCUGAGGUCAGCCCAUCUGUUGACCUCCACUCUGCAGGGUCCUGGAGCAGUGGGACCAUGAGCCUCAGGCAUCCCUGUGACAGCCUCACUUCCACCUGGGAAGGAGAGACUGAUGGCCCCCAGCCCACUCCUUUGGUAGAAACUUUACCACAGGACCCCAGCGGCCACCUCCUAGAUCCAGAUGACAGAACUGGAGGAAAUGUUGCUCAGGCAACCCCCACAGAGUUCCAUGACUCCUCAGCACCCCCACCCCAAAGCCUGUGUCCAGGAGAUGGAUGGAGACAGACUUCCAGCCUCUCCUGCUCUCAGUCCCUGGCCUGGAAGCGGACAAGGAUAUCCACUAAGGCGCUCCCUUCCCGAUUCACCGGCUCCAUUAGCUCCCUGAGUCCUCAGCCUAGGCCAGCCCAGCAGGACAGGCCACCCAGGCUGCCCAGGCAGGGAGCCACUCUGGCUGGCCGCUCUUCUGAUGCCGCCAAGUACGGCCGGGGACAGCUGAACUACCCACUCCCUGAUUUCUCCAAGGUGGGACCCCGGGUGAGGUUCCCCAAAGAUGAGAAAUACCAACCUCCCAAGGCCAGAAGCCAUGGCAGGCAGCGUGAGGGUCCGGCCAGGCCCCUGAUCUUCAAGUCGCCUGCAGAGAUUGUGCGAGAGGUACUGCUCAGCAGUGGAGAAACCUGCCCGGCAAAGGACCCACCUCCUGCUCACCCCAUCACCAGGAUACCCCAAGAAUUCCAGACGCCUGAGCAAGCCACUGAGCUGGUCCAUCAGCUCCAGGAGGACUACCACAAGCUCCUCACCAAGUACGCCGAGGCUGAGAACACCAUCGACCAGCUGCGUCUUGGCGCCAAGGUGAACCUGUACUCGGACCCGCCCCGGCCCAGCCACAGCCUCCACAUGGGGACGGUGCCCCAGGGGACCAAGGUCUUGUCCUUCACCAUCCCACAGGCCCGCACAGCAGAGUGGCAGCCAGGUCCCACCGGGGCCCCGCAGGCCUCUGAGGCUGCAGGGUGGCAGCUGGCUCGAGGAGACCUGAGCCCCUCCUCGCCCACUGACACCUCCACCCCAGCCCGGCUUCCGAAAGAGCAGGGUAUCACCGAAGACCAGCCCUCAGUGGAGCAGACCCAGGCCCUGGCUUCUCAGGCCAGCCAGUUCCUGACCAAGGUGAAGUGCUUUGAAGAGCUGGUGCAGGCGGGAUGGCUCAUACCCCAGGACCAGCUCAAGGGCUUCCGGCAGCUGAAGGCGGCCCACACAGCGCUGGAGGAGCAGUACCUGGAGGCCUGCAGGAAGCAGCAGCACCUGGAGCAGCAGCUCGCUGGCUCCCAGGGGCCACCUGGGAGAUUUGAUCCUGACAGGGAGCUGGAGGCUGAGAUAUUCCAGCUGGGAAUUCGCCUGGAAGAGCUGAAGGACCACAUGGAACAGAGCCAGCUGGAGUCUGAGCGACCCGGGUCAGACUCAGCUCUGGACAGCCCCCCAGCCACACCCACCCCCUGCAAGCCAACCUGUCCGCCCUCCCCUUCCACACCAGCGAUUCAGACGCCCUACCCCGAGCCUGACGACCCCAGGACUCGCCCCUGCCCUUUGCAUGUGGACGUGGACCUGAGCUAUUCCAGCAGCAAGGUGGAGGACAGGCCACGGGACCUCCUGGCCCCACUCAGGCACAAGGAGUUGCAGGUGGAGCAAGACUUUCAUGGCCUCCUGGAGCGAUACCUCAGCGUGAAGUCCCUUCCGGAAGCCAUGAGUGCGGAGGAGGAGGAAGAGCAGGGAUGCACCCUGGAAGUUGAUGGUCUGGCUCCAGUUCCAGGAAGAGCACAGGCCACCAGGCUCCCCCCACAGCAGCUCCCAGGGGAGACUGCGGAGCGGAUGGUGUCUAUGAAGCCGCCGGGCUCCCAGACAUCCGUGGACAGAGACGGGCACCCUCCGGGCCUGGGCAAGGCCAAAGCAGCUCCUCCCGGCCCUGGCACACUGCCCUGCCCUCGGACCACCAAGUCCGCACCGUCCCACCGGAGCAGUAUGACCAACCUGGUGGAAAGUGACGUCUCGGAACGCCUUCCCCAGAAGUCCUUCCACCAAGCUGGCGGGCCCCACCUGGAGGAGCCCUGGAUGGCAUCUCCGGAGACAGACAGUGGCUUUGUGGGCUCAGAAACCAGCAGAGUGUCGCCCCUCACUCAGACCCCGGAGCACCGGCUCUCCCACGUCAGCACCCCAGGGACAUCAGCCCAGCCCUUCACUGCAUCUGUGCCCCAGGAUGGAGCCUCCCACCUCCAGGCCAGGGGUCCUCCAGUCCCCAGAACAGCUGCUGAGCACAGCACACCCAGGAGCCGAGCCCAGAGGCACCUCCCCGGCCCGGGCAGUCCUCUCCGGCAGAAGGCACCCAGCUUCUGCAUGGAGCAGGUGUUGGCAGCAGAGAUGGCUGUCCCUGGCUUGGAGCUCGAGGGGCGAAAGAGGAUUUCGGAGCAGCUCCUACCCAGCAGGGCAAUCAGCCCAACCCCCGUGCCAACCCCUGAGGCUGCCCCCCUGACCGAUGGGCCGACAGAAGCCAUCCCCAGCCUCCUCCUCAGCAGGACAGGGCGAGACCGGGCCAUCCGCGAGCUGCGAGAGGAGGUGUCCCGGCUCCGGCUGCGUCUGGAGGACAGCCUGCACCAGCCAGCCCAGGGCAGCCCCAAGCGCCCGGCGUCCACCUUCACACGCCCCGCCCGGGCCCGGGCCCGGCCAGCGGAUUCCUCAGCUGCCUGGGGCUCCCACUAUGGCAGUAAAUCCACAGAGAGAUUGUCUGGAGAGCCUGGAGGCACAGAGCAAGCUGUCCCUGCAGGAAGGCGGCGAGCCAGGUCCUCCUCAGUGCCUCGGGAGGUGCCCCGACUGUCCCUGACCUCCGAAUCUGAGCCGACCUCGCCCCAGCUCUCGUCUGACAAGAACAGGGCCGCCAAACAGAGCCCUCCGGCAGCCCAGGAUGGAAUGAGGGGAGGGGGCAGCUCCAGACGGCGAGACAGGGUCAUCUUCCAGGGCCACUACACAGGCCAGGAAUACCAUCUUCUGUCCCCGAAGAGUGUCCCGAGAGGCGGUGGCACGGUUUCCUGUCCCCACUGCCGGCCCUCUAGGACCCAGGGCGCAGGUGGUGCCACCACCAGGGACCCACAAGGAUCAUCUCCAGCUGAUCCCCUGCGAUGUCCCAUGUGUCAUCGGGUUGGGCCCCACCCAGAGGCAGAUGGCCCAAACUCUGCUGCCACUAGCACUGAAAAGGCCUCAAGAAAAAACGCACCUUCACAUUCCAGCCCCAAGCAGAGGCGCAAGCAGCUGGAGUCACCACCUCGGCUGCCCCCUGGGCUGUGGUACCUGGCAGCCGCACCCCCAGCGCCAGCUUCUCCAGCCUUUGCCUACGUCCCCUCGGUUCCCAUUGUGCCUUAUCCACCAGCCACUGUGUACUACGCACCCCCAGGAUCUACCUCAGCCCCCGCAGCCCAAGCCGCUGCAGAGUGGCCACCCACAGCCUCCUCCCGGCCACCCGCCCAGCUCCCCCUGGAUGACCUGGAGGAGCUCAGUGAGGCCCUGAGCCGCGCCGUGAGGGCCGCCAGGAGCGUCCGCGCCACCACCAGGCACAUGAGCCGCUCCCUGCUGGCCGCCCUGCACCAGGCCCGCAGCCCGCGGGGCUCCUGCCUCUUCUGACCCCCUCACGGCUCAGAGAUGGGUGGGCGGGAGGAGGGCCGGGCAGCCGGAAGCCCUAAGGAGCCCAGAGACCCCCCCCCCAGCAGGAGGUGACCCCCCAGCACAGGCCCCGCCUGCUCAGUCUGGGUUUUUCAAGGGAGGGGGCAUCAUGGGUCAUCCAGAGAGUAACUUCUUGGGGGACCAGCCUCCUGAAGGCAGGGAGGGGACUGAGGCCCCUUCUGUGCAGGCCAAGACUCUGGGAGGGUUUUCUCUUCCUGCACUUGUCCGCUCCGGCUAAUAAGAUGUAAUUUAUGUGUGAAUGGACACAUGGUUUUAUAAACUGAGGCUUAUUUCUGGUCUUGGAGACAGCUCAGGGGGAUGGAAAAGAAGGGAAAGGGCCAGAGUCUGUGGUGCAGACCUGUCUCCCUUCUUUAACCAGCAUAACUCGGGACUAAGCUACUCUGUCUUUGCUCCUGGUGGGAGGGGGUACCUGGGGCCCCGGGUGGACAUGCACCCAGCUUGCCCAGGGUCGGAGAGGCUGUUCCCACAGGCCCACUGGGAUGGAGACACCCAUGGAGGGCCCCAGGAAGCUGUGCCACCACGGCCUUCCCAGCCUGCACCCCGAGGCCCCAGCUCUCUCCCUGGAUCCCUGUGGCAUUUGGUGAUUGGCGCUACCUGCCAGGCCCUGGUUUGGCCCCAGAUUGGGACCCAGUCUGUGGCCUGGAGGCCAGGCCACCUCCUGCUCCCCACCCAGGCAGUGCUUACCUCAGCAUUUCAGGAAUAUGUGUGCAUAAAUGAUGUUUGUAUAUUUGAGGCAUUUAAAAAUCUAUUUUCGUUACGAGGGCAAAUGAAGACUGUUGACCUGAAAAAAGAAAAAACAUUCCCAAAUCCUGCUGCCUCUGUGGUGUGUGUCAUCGACUUGUGAUUUCAAAAUUCAGUGGCUUCUGCUUCUCCAACUUUCCCCCUCUGCGGAUCUCAGAAUCAUAAACCAGCGUAUUGGAGGGGCCUGCAAUAGAGGCCACCUGGCUGAGCCCCUUUUACGUGAGCCACUUUUUACCGAGGCCAGAGAUCUUUCGAGAUUCAAGGUCAGUUGGUGUCAGCAAAAGCACAAACAGGACCAUCUUUCUAGAGCUCUUUCAGCUUGCAGAAAAUGAUAAAAGCUGCCAUUCAGUCUCAGUUUUUGGGCACCUGAGCACUCCUGCUCCCACAGAAGACAAUGGGCCGUGAAUCAGGUGCCCUCUGGGCCUGGGAGGAGGCCUGUCCAGCUUUGCUGGGCUGCUGGCCUCAGGUGUCAGCUCUGCACAGGCCUCAAAUUGAGCCUCAGACAUGGCCCCAUCUCCACUCACCUGUGCAAGGUGAUGGCUGGUUCUCGGGUCCUUGCUCCUAGAUGUCACCUCCUGCUCUGGGUCUCCAGGGGAGCACCCUGAGGACCCUUCUGUGGAGUCACCCAGCACCUCCAGCUUAUACUCUUGAGAACUUGCCCCAGGCCAGCCCACAGCCUCUUGCCAGGAUGGACACAGCAGCCUCUGCACACGUGUUUCUACCUCUGCUCCAGCCCCCCCCAAACCCUCUGCCCCAGACUGCCAAAGCCAUAUGUCUAAAAUAAAGCCCAUCCUGCUUGGG